Molecule: long non-coding RNA, 2267 nt
Filed under: Brassica napus (rape)
Lineage: Eukaryota; Viridiplantae; Streptophyta; Magnoliopsida; Brassicales; Brassicaceae
Description: long non-coding RNA (BNAP_LNC003165)
Source: RNAcentral
UAUCAAGUCUCAAGCUUCUAAGGGAACCAGCCAUUUAACCAUUUAUAAAACCUAAUUAAAUUCAACAAAUUGCGGGGUUUUUUUUUUGUCUUUGAUUUUUUAGAGUUGACUUAUCCCUCAAGGUACCCUUUGUUUUGCAAGUAGGAGAUGAUAUGUUCAGCCAUCUGACGUGGUGAACAAGAAUCGUCAUCUCCCGUGUGUUUCAGAACAACCUGUAAAAAAUAUACGAAGAUACAUCAAUACUAUUUUAGAAAUUUACGUAUCAAAUUCUUCGACUACAUCACGGAGAAUAAAUAUUACGAACCUCGCAGUUCAGUGGCGCCUCGUAAGGAUCAUCGAUUCCAGUAAAGCCUGAAUCAAGAAAAAAAAUCAGUAUUUAUCUUUUACUACUACUACUACUACAAUCUCAAAACCACAUCCAUUUUAUACCUAACAGCAAGUAUUUAAUAAUGUUAUUAUUCCCUCCGUUUGAAAUGUAAUACCUUUGAUUUUGCCGGCACGUGCGAGCUUGUACAACCCCUUUGGAUCUCUUGACUCGCACACAGACAGAGGAACAUCCAUGAAAACCUAACAACAAUUUAAUCAUACGUAAUAUGAUCAAUAUACUAUAUAUAUCGUCUAUUUUAUGAAAUUAAAUGAAUAAAAAUAAAAAAAAAGGAUCGGACGAUAAGCACCUCCACGAAAUCUCCCUCGGGUAACAACGACCGGCACUCAUCUCUGUCUCUCCGGUAAGGAGAAAUCAAACUUGCUAUACAAAUGACGCCAACGUCAGCAAACAGCUUUGCCACCUCACCUGAAGUUCAAUAUCAUUCCUUCAACCAUGAUCAAUUAGUUAUUGAUAAUUUUUGGAAACAAAAAAAGAAAAAUGAUUGUACCGAUCCUGCGUAUGUUUUCGGUACGAUCCUCAGCUUUGAAAGUGAGGUCCCGGUUAAGACCAUGACGUACAUUGUCUCCGUCAAGUGUGUAAGUAAGUUUGCCUCUUUCGAACAGAGCUUUACUUAAGGCACAAGCAACAGUGCUUUUCCCUGAGCCGCUGAGACCAGUGAUCCAAAUGACACAACCCUUCUGUUGAAGAAGUUGUUGUCGGUCGCAUCUGCAAAUGGAACUCUCGUGCCACACGAUGUUCUCUGGCUUAUUUUUGUCUCCGUUGAUUCUCUCUUCUUUCACAUUCGUCUCUACCAAGAAAAACAGAACAACAAUUGUGACAUUUUCAGACAAAACAUCUUAGGUUUAGCAAUUUGAGGAGAGUCUUUAAAGUGAAAGAAUACCUGAAAGGGCGGGAAAAUCGGCGGUGAGGGAAGCUUGAGCAGAGACAUUAACGGCGGAGAUCGGAUGUAAAGAAGCAGACUUCGCGACUAGUUUUGGCUUAUCUGCAGCAUAUGAUGACGUUGGGAGCCUGAGGAAACCGUCACUUAGAGGCAGUCGCUGAGAACCGACGUCGAGACCUGGAAGAGAGCAGAUGAUGGACGGUCGCGAUGCUCUGAUUGCUAAUCCUUCCAUUUGAACUUUUUAUUACUGAAACUUGCAGAUCCCAGACGGUGUUGGGGUUAACAGUUUCUGUAGUUCUGACAAAAUCAAUGUACGAAACAAAUCUGCUUAUAUAAAUUAUAUACAAGAAAGAUGGAUUAUUUGAAAAAAAUAUAUAGAGGGAGAAGUAGAGUUAAAGAGGAACGGGCAAAGGAAGAAAACUGGUGAGGAGAUUAGUGGUACCAACAAUAAAUUCGUCCACAAUAAACACAUGGACAUAUUCCAUCAUAAGAAAAUGAAAAAAAUAAUAUUCAGUAUUAGAACUAAUUAAUUUACAAAUUAGUUUAAAAAAAAUACUCUAUCUGUUCCUAAAAAUAUGAUGUUUUACAGAAUUGAUGUUCCAUUUAUUAAUACACAUUAUACAACUUAAUCGAUAACAUUAAUCAAAAUACAGCUCUUAAUUAACUAACUAAUUGCUAUUAGAAAUAUAAAUAAUAUUUGUUGUCCCUUUCUCUCGGUCCGAGGUAAACAUAGAUGCAAUUCAAGAACAAAUGAUAGUAUGACGAAGAAAGACGUACGACGUUGUAUCAAGUCUCAAGCUUCUAAGGGAACCAGCCAUUUAACCAUUUAUAAAACCUAAUUAAAUUCAACAAAUUGCGGGGUUUUUUUUUUGUCUUUGAUUUUUUAGAGUUGACUUAUCCCUCAAGGUACCCUUUGUUUUGCAAGUAGGAGAUGAUAUGUUCAGCCAUCUGACGUGGUGAACAAGAAUCGUCAUCUCCCGUGUGUUUCAGAACAACCUG